CCUUUUGUUUUUUUUUAAUUGACAUAGACCCAAGUCAUUUAGUGAGAUGAGGAAGACGACGCGUUGGAAAUGGUCGGGAUAGCUCA
This 86-nucleotide transfer RNA is filed under the name Casearia commersoniana. Lineage: Eukaryota; Viridiplantae; Streptophyta; Magnoliopsida; Malpighiales; Salicaceae. The record is from RNAcentral.